Molecule: ribosomal RNA, 267 nt
Filed under: uncultured bacterium
Lineage: Bacteria
Description: partial 16S ribosomal RNA
Rfam family: Bacterial small subunit ribosomal RNA
Source: RNAcentral
GUCCACGCCGUAAACGAUGGGUGCUAGGUGUCGCGGGCUUUGACCCCUGCGGUGCCGUAGCUAACGCAUUAAGCACCCCGCCUGGGGAGUACGGCCGCAAGGCUAAAACUCAAAGGAAUUGACGGGGGCCCGGCACAAGCGGUGGAGCAUGUGGUUUAAUUCGACGCAACGCGCAGAACCUUACCUGGGCUAGAAAGUGCAGGAACCUGGUCGAAAGGUCGGGGUGCUCUUCGGAGAACCUGUAGUUAGGUGCUGCAUGGCUGUCGU